Molecule: microRNA precursor, 102 nt
Filed under: Paramuricea clavata
Lineage: Eukaryota; Metazoa; Cnidaria; Anthozoa; Malacalcyonacea; Plexauridae
Source: RNAcentral
UUAAAAGUUCCUAACUUCCUGUUUCAUUGACCAAUCAAAUUUUAUAUUUUAUUUUUGAGCAAUCUGAUUGGUUAAUGAAACAGGAAGUUAGGUACAUUUUAA